UUCCGUAGGUGAACCUGCGGAAGGAUCAUUAAAUUCAGUAGCUUGCUACUGUUAGGGGGGUCUAUUAGUCUGUAUAGUAUCACUACUGAUGAGCAGCACGACCUCCUGUCUAUACCCUUGUCUUUUGCGCACUCAUGUUUCCUCGGCGGCUUGAUACCCGCCGGCUGGAUCAAUCUAAAACCUUUUUAAUUUUCAAUCAGCGUCUGAAAAACCUAAUAAUUACAACUUUCAACAACGGAUCUCUUGGUUCUGGCAUCGAUGAAGAACGCAGCGAAAUGCGAUAAGUAGUGUGAAUUGCAGAAUUCAGUGAAUCAUCGAAUCUUUGAACGCACAUUGCGCCCCUUGGUAUUCCAUGGGGCAUGCCUGUUCGAGCGUCAUUUGUACCCUCAAGCUCUGCUUGGUGUUGGGUGUUUGUCCACUAUCGUGGACUCGCCUUAAAGUCAUUGGCAGCCAGUGUUUUGGUAUUGAAGCGCAGCACAUUUUGCGCCUCUAGCCUAGAACACUAGCGUCCAGUAAGCCUUUUUCCACUUUUGACCUCGGAUCAGGUAGGGAUACCCGCUGAAC
Molecule: ribosomal RNA, 564 nt
Filed under: cf. Phaeosphaeria sp. CPC 11231
Lineage: Eukaryota; Fungi; Ascomycota; Dothideomycetes; Pleosporales; Phaeosphaeriaceae
Description: eukaryotic LSU rRNA
Rfam family: 5.8S ribosomal RNA (bases 224-377)
Source: RNAcentral